Molecule: ribosomal RNA, 480 nt
Filed under: uncultured bacterium
Lineage: Bacteria
Description: bacterial SSU rRNA
Rfam family: Bacterial small subunit ribosomal RNA
Source: RNAcentral
UCAGGAUGAACGCUGGCGGCGUGCCUAACACAUUCAAGUCGAACGGACGCGAUCCCUUCGGGGAUCAAGUUAGUGGCGGACGGGUGAGUAAUGCAUGAGCAACCUGCCUCGAAGAGGGGAAUAACACAGAGAAAUUUGUGCUAAUACCGCAUAAUGUACCGAUCGGACAUCCGGACGGUAAGAAAGGAGCAAUCCGCUUUGAGAUGGGCUCAUGUCUGAUUAGACAGUUGGCGGGGUAACGGCCCACCAAGUCUACGAUCAGUAGCCGGACUGAGAGGUUGAACGGCCACAUUGGGACUGAGACACGGCCCAGACUCCUACGGGAGGCAGCAGUGGGGAAUAUUGGACAAUGGGCGAAAGCCUGAUCCAGCCGACGCCGCGUGAAGGAAGAAGGUCUUCGGAUUGUAAACUUUAGUGAGCAGGGACGAUGAUGACGGUACCUGCAGAGCAAGCCACGGCUAACUACGUGCCAGCCGCAGC